This 467-nucleotide ribosomal RNA is filed under the name uncultured bacterium. RNAcentral describes it as "partial 16S ribosomal RNA". It matches the Rfam family "Bacterial small subunit ribosomal RNA", at positions 28 to 507 of the family's 1533-position model. The record is from RNAcentral.
GACGAACGCUGGCGGCGUGCUUAACACAUGCAAGUCGAACGGAAAGGCCUCUUUCGGGGGGUACUCGAGUGGCGAACGGGUGAGUAACACGUGAGUAACCUGCCCUUGACUUUGGGAUAACUUCAGGAAACUGGGGCUAAUACCGGAUAGGAGCUCCUGCUGCAUGGUGGGGGUUGGAAAGUUUCGGCGGUUGGGGAUGGACUCGCGGCUUAUCAGCUUGUUGGUAGGGUAGUGGCUUACCAAGGCUUUGACGGGUAGCCGGCCUGAGAGGGUGACCGGCCACAUUGGGACUGAGAUACGGCCCAGACUCCUACGGGAGGCAGCAGUGGGGAAUAUUGCACAAUGGGUGGAAGCCUGAUGCAGCAACGCCGUGUGCGGGAUGACGGCCUUCGGGUUGUAAACCGCUUUCGCUCAUGACGAAGCUUUGUGUGACGGUAGUGGGUAAAGAAGCACCGGCUAACUACGUG